Molecule: ribosomal RNA, 191 nt
Filed under: uncultured prokaryote
Description: partial 16S ribosomal RNA
Rfam family: Bacterial small subunit ribosomal RNA
Source: RNAcentral
UACAGAGGUCUCAACCGUUGUUCGGAAUCAUUGGGCGUAAAGCGCGUGUAGGCGGCUUGGUAAGUCGAGUGUGAAAGCCCGGGGCUCAACCCCGGAAGGUCGCUCGAAACUGCCUCGCUAGAGUCCCGGAGAGGAAGGCGGAAUUCCCGGUGUAGAGGUGAAAUUCGUAGAUAUCGGGAGGAACACCAGCG